ACCACGGCGAGCAGACACAUUCUUCGAGAAUUCGAUAGCCGUGCCGCGCUUCAUCUUCGUAAGGAAACCCGCAUGGGGCAAAGCGUAGAGAAAACGAUGCACAUGUUUAUGUGCUGUUGUUCAGCACGAGUCAAGGCCAAGCAAAAAAACACCAGCAAGACAUGACGUAUACACAGUCAGGCCGCCGAUAAAUAAUUCCCUCACCUUCGAAAUGUGACCGUCCAUCUGCCGAACGGACACUAUUGUUUAUUACGAUGUGUCUCGAUGCUUUAGAUAUACCUAGCAACACGCGGUGGCCUUUCGAAUACCAACCUGGGCAGUCACGAUCAUUGCAAGGAUACAAUGCAAUUAUUGUUGACCGCGCACGAGAAUGCAAAGAGGACCUUUUGACAUCGUGUACAGCAUGAUGAAAGGGUGUCCCAUCAUGGCAAAGUCUUGCCUUUCUUUGUUGGUUUUUGUCACUUUGAGUGCUUCAUGCUCUUCAUAAAUUUGGUGGAUAAUCGAAGUUGAACAUUGGACGUCAUUCGAAUUUUAAAAUGUUUUAUUUUAAAGAUAAUCUCCACCAAAAAGUGCCCUCAUGGAUUUGCAUCCUCAAUCGAGUAUAGAAUGGUAUUUGAAGCCAGGUGAAAUUUAAGAGGAUAGAUCCAAGGACUACGACUCACCUUUUGUAAUAAUUCGCUCGAGAUAACUAUCGGAUUUCGGAAAGGCACUCCUUCAGUGGAGUUGAAAAUUUUUUCCAUUAUGCUUAUAAAUGAACUUUUACGUGCCAAACUGCCAACUAAAGCCUUUUUUUUUUAUUACAAUGAUCAAGGACCCAGUCAGCAUCGUUCCAUUGAACUCCGUUCUGAGAAGGGAUUCGCAGUCGAUACUUAAUUUGAUGGUGACGUGUGUGCCUGAUACCUGCCAGCAUUCCGCCAUCAUGAAACCGACAACUGGCUUCGGUAAGUCACAACGUUUUGAGGCAACUCUGCUUUAUCAGAAGUACUGCAAAUAUUGGCGUUUUAAUUGUGAAAACGAGUUUUCUAAAUGGAGUGGAAUAAUGCAGUCCAAGUUAAACUCAAACUUAACUUGUAAACAUGGAGAUUGGCAGGACUUCCGAGACAUGUUCCUAGUUUUUCGUGGUAAUCAAUUACACCGUUCUGCUGUCACAACGCAUUUGUGUGGGCGUGUGGAACUAAGCAAAAAUAGCAUGGGGAUUUCAGCUGAUCUGUUCAACGACCGGACAAUUACGCGUAUAGAGACAAUGGACAAAAAUUGAGAUACCACAAGAUUCCUCGUGACGGGCCAUCUUUUUUUGUUAAUGUGAAAAACGCUGGCGUGCAACUGCAUUGACUGGAAGGAAGAAAAAAAACAACCUACAGCUGUCUUCAGCGAACUAUGGAACAAAUGGAUUCGAUUAACUACUCUCCAAAAAGAAAACAUUAGCCCUUAGUCCGAAAGAUGGCAUUGCUACUUGACCUUGGAAGGUUUCAGUAAAAGAAUGUUAACCUGGUCAUAGCUAGUUCGUGCAAUGCCUUUCACCCUUAUUGGUUUAUCUUUUCAACAUCAAAUUGACAUUAACUUGAUCGCUGUUCCAUUAGCGAGCAAGAAAACCGUCGCACAUACUAACGCCAGAGUUGGGAUGACACAAUCCUUUUCCAGCCACGAUAAGCAGAGCUAAGCGGGUUCAGCCAUCUCGGCAGCAUCUCUGAUUCAUUUUUAAAACCCGGAUGCAAAAGUUGUACUUAAAAAAAGUAUAGGAAGCCAAUGAGGAAUUGAACAUCAAUCAUCCAGGUGACUAUUAUGACCAGUCUCAUUAGACUACAAUUUAAAAUCAAAUAGAAAUGUU
This 1828-nucleotide long non-coding RNA is filed under the name Daphnia magna. RNAcentral describes it as "uncharacterized LOC116926452". Lineage: Eukaryota; Metazoa; Arthropoda; Branchiopoda; Diplostraca; Daphniidae. The record is from RNAcentral.